GACGAACGCUGGCGGCGUGCUUAAUACAUGCAAGUCGAGCGAUGAAGCUUCCUUCGGGAAGUGGAUUAGCGGCGGACGGGUGAGUAACACGUGGGUAACCUGCCUCAAAGAGGGGGAUAGCCUUCCGAAAGGAAGAUUAAUACCGCAUAAUAUCAUUUUAAUGCAUGUUGAAAUGAUUAAAGGAGUAAUCCGCUUUGAGAUGGACCCGCGGCGCAUUAGCUAGUUGGUGAGGUAACGGCUCACCAAGGCGACGAUGCGUAGCCGACCUGAGAGGGUGAUCGGCCACAUUGGGACUGAGACACGGCCCAGACUCCUACGGGAGGCAGCAGUGGGGAAUAUUGCGCAAUGGGGGAAACCCUGACGCAGCAACGCCGCGUGAGUGAUGACGGUCUUCGGAUUGUAAAGCUCUGUUUUCAGGGACGAUAAUGACGGUACCUGAGGAGGAAGCCACGGCUAACUACGUGCCAGCAGCCGCGGUAA
RNAcentral lists this ribosomal RNA (480 nucleotides) under uncultured bacterium. Its description in RNAcentral is "partial 16S ribosomal RNA". It matches the Rfam family "Bacterial small subunit ribosomal RNA", at positions 28 to 523 of the family's 1533-position model. The record is from RNAcentral.